GGACCCAGAACCCAGCUCAAGCUCAAGAAGGGUUGGGUCCAAUCAGGUGGUUGUUGUUGGUGGUGGUGGUGCUGAUGUGUCAGUGCAGAGAGUGAAGAAAGAAGAGAUAGAAACCAAGAUAUCUGCAUGGCAAAACGCAAAGAUUGCUAAGAUCAAUAAUAGGUUCAAAAGAGAGGAUGCCAUAAUUAAUGGCUGGGAAAGUGAGCAAGUGCAAAAGUCUUCUUCUUGGAUGAAGAAAGUUGAGGUAUGUAUAGAAAGAAAUUAAUUAUUAGUCUAGUAUAUUAAUUAUUUAUUAAUUUGCCUGUUAAUUUAAUUUUUGAAUUGAUGAUCCAAAGCUAAUAUGUUUCCCUUCUCAUAUAGAUUUUUUCAUGAUUAUACUAAGGACUUGUUAAUUAAUUACUCAAUUGAGAAACAGAUAACAAUCAUAAUUUCUUUGUUGAAUUUUUUGAACCAUAUUGAUUAGAGAGAGUCUUGAUGAUGUAGGUGAAGUUACUUUGAUACUUUACCUAUAUGACAAGAGUUAAUAUAGACCACUAGUUUAUGAUCAAACAAUGGAAUUUCUUGGAUUUGUAUUUUAUCUAUUGCUAGUUAGUGAGCUAAUUUUAGCUCAAGUUUCAAUUUCAGUAAUUAUUGCUUCCACAAAAGAUAAUAACUAACUUUCAACCAGAAAAGUAUUUUCAUGCUUCAAGCACUACUCAAGACAGAAAAGUACAUGUGAGAAUUAUACCUUUACAAUUGAUAAGGCAUUUUCAUAACGGCUUAUAUCUAAAGCAUGUAUAUGUCUUUUACUGUUUCUUCUUCUUCUCCUUCUUUUCUUUUUUUUUUCUUGUAUCAACUAGAAAAUUAAUGUUGUCUCUGUUUUUAACACUNNNNNNNNNNNNNNNNNNNNNNNNNNNNNNNNNNNNNNNNNNNNNNNNNNNNNNNNNNNNNNNNNNNNNNNNNNNNNNNNNNNNNNNNNNNNNNNNNNNNNNNNNNNNNNNNNNNNNNNNNNNNNNNNNNNNNNNNNNNNNNNNNNNNNNNNNNNNNNNNNNNNNNNNNNNNNNNNNNNNNNNNNNNNNNNNNNNNNNNNNNNNNNNNNNNNNNNNNNNNNNNNNNNNNNNNNNNNNNNNNNNNNNNNNNNNNNNNNNNNNNNNNNNNNNNNNCAUAUAGAACAUAUUUUACUUAAAAAAAAAAAAAAAAAAAAAAAAAAAAAAAAGAAUGGUGGACAAAAAUAAUUGUCCCAAACUAUUAGGGUUCCUACAUCUUUUGAACUAUAGGAAACCCAUGUAUGAAAUGGGGCAGUGAGGAAUUGCACUCAAAAACUAAGGAUGAACUAAGGCUCAGAUUGAAAUCUUCAGUAUUUUCCAUCUCCAUCAAAUUAAGCUUUCCACAGUCUCCAAUCACCAAAGUCUCUAAUGCAGAUAGAUUCCUUAUACCGCGAGGUAAGGAUGCUAGACUCCCGCAAGAAGUUAUAACCAAUGUUCGAAGCGAUGUCAGAGCCUGCAUAUCAUCAAACAAUUUUUCCAAAUUUCCACAUUGAAACAAAGACAGAUAUCUUAGAGAACUGAGACAUCCUAUACCGUUUUCUGGGAAGGAAGUCUGUUUUGUAGGUAUCUCCAAAAACCUGAGGCGAGUCGUGUGCUUGAUAUCUCUAGGAAUUUCUUCAAGCUUCUCACAUUCUUCAAGUCUUAAGGUCUGCAAAUUCUGCAGCCUGCAAAUGGAAUUAGGGAGUUUUCGAAGCUUCCGAUUCCUAUAAAGGUCAAGGUAUCUCAAAUUCUUCAAGGUACCAAUUGAAUUUGGCAAUGUCUCAAAGCAUGAAUCGCUAAGAUUAAGCACUCGUAAGUGCUUGAAUCGUGACAUGCAGGUGUCAAUAAAUGUUCCGCUAGUAGGCCCCAUCCCCCUAACUGGGAAAAAUAUAGUUCUUACCUUCUCUAACUUGUGUAAGAACUUAGGAACUUGUUGACUUGGCAAAUUACUGCCUGAAAAGGAUAAAUGACGGACCUUUUCAUCAACAGAUGGGGUGAGAAAGUUUACAGUUGAGCACUCACUUUGCGCAACUGAUAUAGCUAGAUCAUGUACAAGAUCAUGCAUUUUGCAGGUAAAAAAGAAACCAUGAUCCUCAAUAUCUUGGAGAAAAGAUCUCGACCAUAGUUCUUUCACAAAACGCAACCCAUUCUCUUUCAAUUCUUCAUCUUCAUCAGGCGAUUCAAGAAGUCCAUAAGCCAUCCAAAAUCGAAUCAAUUCAAAACUGUACAACACAUAAUUUUUGGGAAAGAGGGAACAAUAAGCAAAACAUCGUUUCAAGUAAGAUGGCAUGUGAUCAUAGCUCAACUUCAGCACCGGUAGGAUGUCAUUUUUUUGAUGUUGUAAUUUCCAUAUCUCAUUGUCUCUGAUGGACACCCAGGUUUUUUCUUCGGUUGAUGAAUAAAGUAGACUUCCUAAAGUUCUCACUGCUAAAGGAACCCCUCCACAUUUCCUUACAAUCUCAUUCCCAGUAUCUAUGAGAUUCGGAUAUUGCUUCUCUUGUCCUGGAUUAAAUUCCCAUUUCAAAAACAAAGACAAACAAUCCUUAUGGGAAAGACCAGGCAAAUUGUAUGCAAAAUCAUUGCCUACAACAGAAGCAACUUUUGAACUCCUUGUAGUUACAAUAAUUUUACUUCCCAAAGCACAACCCUCCAACAAACCUCUCAAUUCAACCCAUUUAACCAGAUUUUCAUUCCAAACAUCAUCUAAAACAAGCAAAAACUUUCUACCCCCUAAACUCCUCCGCAAUCGUGCUUGCAAUUGAUCCAUUGUCAGGUCACCAUAACUCCUACCAGUAGCAGAACUAGUAAUCUCCUUAGCCAACGUAGUAACAUCAAAUUCCUGAGACACACAAACCCACAUCUUCAAUUGAAAAUUCUUCUCCACCCUUUCAUCAUUAUACACCAUUUUAGCUAAUGUCGUCUUACCUUGGCCACCAGUUCCAAUUAUAGGAACAACUGAAAGAUUUUCUUCCUUACUAUAAUGCAACAAAAAGUCGAUAAUUUUAUCUCUAUCAAAAUCUCUCCCAAUAACAUCUGAAGCUUGAACAAAGGAGUGAGUCAUCUCUCUCCUCCUAUAUUCAACUUUCUCAUCUACAAAUCUUUCUUUUAAAUGAAACUUAUUCUUCAAAGCAGCAAUUUCAUCAAAUCUUUCUCUAAUAUCUUUCAUUUUAUGCCCAAUCUUUAAAUGGAACACAAGUUUGUUAUUAGUCUUCAUAGACAAAAUCAUCAAUAAUAUCCUCCGCAUCAAAACAAGCUUCUUUAAGUUUGGAUAACCAAACAGUAAGCUCACUGUUUUCCUUUCCCUGUUGCUCCUCUGCAUCCAAGAGCACAGCUUUAAUGGUGGACAAGGUGUCUUGGAGCUUCUUUAAGUCUUCGUUGACAUUCCAUGCUAAGCUAAUCUCGUCAACAACUUUAGAUGUUAACUUGUGAAGAACAGUUUCAGCUAUGUUGAAGAGAAAAGAUUCUGCCAUUUUCUUUUCUUUUUUUUUUUUUUUUUUUUUUGUUAAACAGCAAAAGGAAAAAGAAAGCAGUGGUCGCUAAUUGGGUUUGCUAUGGUGGCGGAGGUGAAAUGAAAAGCAGACUUGCAGAGCAGAAAUGAUCAAUCGGUGAAAUCAAGUUGGCAUAUUUUGAGAAGUCUAUAAUCAAGUAAUCAUUAUCGAGCAAAUUAUUGAUAACUAAGUAUAAAAAGAUUCUUUCUUCAUAAACUACAAUUGACUUAUCUUUUUAAGUUUAAAGUCUUUUCCUUCCUUUACUUUUGUCUCCUGCCAAUAAGUUUCUUGCAGGUAGCCACUGAAAUGGGUGGAAAGAUCGCGUUCACGGGUCGGGCUGGGCUUGCAUGACAUUCAAGGCUGCAUUUGCUUGUUAAAUUGCUAAUUUAGGCCGAUCUAAAUAUAGCAAAAUUCUCUAACCAGCCUAGCACAUUACCUACCAGAGCAAAAUUCUCAGAAAUUUCUUACUGAGGGGUCUUCACCUAAUACUAACUUCAGAAUGGAGUGUAUACUUACUCUAAUGAUCUGAAAGGUUAAUAGUUUGAGUCCUAAUGAUUGGUAUAUCUACACUUGCCAUCUUCAGUCGUGGUUAUGGAACCAAUCUUUCAUUUCUAAUCUCAAUGAAAUAACCAUUAUUCUUUGUCAAGGCUCCAUUGCAAUAACUCAACAUCAAUAGGAACUAAACGCAGCAGCUUCCAUGCGUUGUUCAACAUAAAUAACAAAACUAGAACACCAAAUGGUUAAAAUCAAUCCAUAAUCGACGGGUGCGGUCAUGAGAAAAAUAUAAUGAAUGAAUUGAAAUGAAGUGAGAAUUAGGGAAGGCGGAGUAAUAUCAUAAAACUGAAGCUGGGUACAAUACAAGAUAAUAAAAAUCUUAGCUAGAAAAUAAAUAAUAAGCACAUAAUCCUACAAAAUUAACAAUGACAAAAAAUUGCUCAGAUAAGAAUAAGGGUAAAAAGUAACCUUGCAAAAUUGGUUGGCUUAAUUAGUUUAAGCCAUCUGUUUAAGUAUGUCUAAGUUUCUUAUGUAUCAUAGAGAUGGUGCAAUACGUCCAUAGACUGCUUGGAAAGUCUGUCCCCCAUUCCUAGCCACCUUUUGUCCUUCUUCAGUUGCUGUGCUUUGGAGCUCUACAACAGGAUCUACUCCAAGCUCCUCCUCUGUGAGGGCUUCAAACAUAGGGUGAUUCUCCAAACAAGCCUUCAUCCACUCACCCAAUUCUUCCACAUCAGUAAUUGCAUAAAUAAUCCCGCCAAUCUCAAGAACAUAGGCAUACUCAUCUAGCAAAUGUGGACUAAUAACCCUUCGACGAUGAUUCUUCUCCUUUAAGUGGGGAUCCGGAAACAGGAAAAACAUCUUCGUAAGCUGUCCUUUCCCAAAGUAAUUUGGUAUGUAUUUCAUAGAAUUGGUUCGAACCAUUGAGGCAUUUUGAUAUUGACCUGGAUUAGCUAUCCUUAAUGCAGAAAUUCGUUCCUUGACAUAUUCUGUCACUUUAUCCCUAAGUUCCAUACCAAUCAUUAGGGUUUCAGGAAAAAGGGUUGAGACUAAUAAGUAGCCCUCCAAAACCACAACCAACAUCCGCAAACUGAAUCUUUUUGGAACUAUCCACUUGAUCAGAUGAAGGGAAAAAUUGAGGGUAAUGAACUGAAUAUUCAACAUGAGAAGGGGAAAUUGGAACAGGGAAGUGUGAGUCACUGAGUGGGUUGCUAUGUGCUCGUGCUCUGUAGAAGCGUUUCCUUGGCAGGCCAGUUGACUUGCUGAGAGUUGGGUUUACCUCAUUUUCUAGCAUGUUUUUCUCCGUAAGCUACAUAAAAAGGAUCAAUAAGAAUUAGACAGUAAAAGUAUUAAAAGAUAAGAAAGAAAGAAGAAUAUGGAGAACAAAGAGUAGAAGACUGCUAGAUAUAUUCAAGAAUCUAACAAAUAAAUAAUUAGUAAAGGUACCCUACAAUGGCUCAAUAAAAUUAAAAGCAGACAUACACAAAUAAUCAAGAUAAAAACAGAGGAUAACCCCACUGUCUGCUAUGAUCUAAAACUACUUAAAACCGUCAAGAUAGAAAUAGAAAUUCAAUGAUCAAUAAUUAAUAACAGAACCAACACCAAAGAACAGUCAACAUUAGAAUAGACAAAUAUGAAACAGUAAUUCUCGAGUAUAUCAGCGAAUGAAUGUAAAACAUAGAAAAGAAUGAGACAGGCAGAGAGACAGCACUCUCAAAUAAACUACAGCUUUAAAGAAGAUUUCAAAACCAUUGAUAUGACUUUCGGGAUUUGACAAAUACACCUCUUCACAGGUUCAGAAUGUCUCUAGUUAGCUAAUUCUGAUACCCAUAGUUAUUGAUCAAGUAGUAAGCAGUCACAAGGCAGAACCAUUAAACUUACACUGAAUCAAUCAGAAAUAAAUCAUUCUACUUCUGCUAAAUCUCCCAUUAGUUCCAAAGAACACCUUGCUUCAUUUAAAGAGAUGCAUAAGGUUAUGAUUAAAGAUUAGACCUGUACUCUCAAUAUGCAAGGCGAAUUUCUACAAUGUUGCUGUCCCAAAUUUGCAAGCUCAACAAUGACACAUCAAUAUACAAGUCCAUUCGCAUUCACGCAUUGGCAUAUCAUAGUAGAUGUAGUCGAUAACUGAACUAAUUAACAAGAAUCCGAAUCCAAUAUACACCAAAGUCUUUAACUUUUUAGUUAACGAACUCAGACCAUAAAUCAUCUUUGGCACAGUAAUCCAAAUAUGAGGAUCAAAACUUAGGUCAAAAUAUCUAUCAAAAUCACAUGAAAGAUUUUUUUUUUUUUUUCUGUAAGGCUAAGUAGUAGUUGUGGUUGUAUUGACAAACAGCAAGAAACAAAAUUCAAAAUUCAAUAACAUUUCAAAACCAACAAUAAAAUUACUCUAAGAUAACAAAAUUCAGCAUUCAGCAACGAAAGGGAAUGUACUGUAACAGAGGGAGUACCUUUUUAUGCAGAACUCAAAACGCUUUUACUUGUACUAGGCUUGGGGCAAAGAAAUAGGUAGAGGCGGUUGCGCUAUUAGGGAAGAGAUUGGAGAAUUUGGGAAUUAGGGGUUUCUUUUCCCCGGGCCAGUUACAAGAAGAGGCGGUUGCGCUAUUAGCCGUGGGGUGGCUAUAAUUGCAAUUUGCAGGGCUUUAGUUGGUAGAUUAACUAACAUAAGCUUAUCAAAUCUUGAGGGUUUUAUUGUUGUUAUUUUUUUUUUAGGAAUAAAGUUAAAAAUGAUUAAAAAGAUCAAAUUUAAUAUUUUGAGUCAAUUAAAAUAAUCAAAAAAUCAGAUUAACAUUUUAGAUCAAUUUAGCUGUUGAUUCUUCAAUGUUUUUUUAGGCAUCUAAGACUAUAAUUA
Molecule: long non-coding RNA, 6833 nt
Filed under: Jatropha curcas
Lineage: Eukaryota; Viridiplantae; Streptophyta; Magnoliopsida; Malpighiales; Euphorbiaceae
Description: long non-coding RNA (JCUR_LNC002774)
Source: RNAcentral